This is a transfer RNA of Blumeria graminis f. sp. tritici 96224, 82 nucleotides long. It matches the Rfam family "tRNA". From Rfam's summary of the family: Transfer RNA (tRNA) molecules are approximately 80 nucleotides in length. Their secondary structure includes four short double-helical elements and three loops (D, anti-codon, and T loops). The record is from Rfam. Lineage: Eukaryota; Fungi; Ascomycota; Leotiomycetes; Helotiales; Erysiphaceae.
UCCGCAUUAGUGUAGGGGUUAACAUACUCCGCUUUCAAACAAGAGCGCCGGAGAGCCCCGGGUUCGAUUCCCGGAUGCGGAA